RNAcentral lists this ribosomal RNA (372 nucleotides) under uncultured eukaryote. Its description in RNAcentral is "partial 18S ribosomal RNA". It matches the Rfam family "Eukaryotic small subunit ribosomal RNA", at positions 592 to 975 of the family's 1831-position model. The record is from RNAcentral.
CAAUAGCGUAUAUUAAAGUUGUUGCAGUUAAAAAGCUCGUAGUUGGAUUUCUGGGAGGGUGCCAAUGUCCGCCGUCGUGCGUGCGCAGCGGCGCCCUUCCAUCCUUCUGUUAACGCCUCUUGGCAUUCAUUUGCUGGUGGCGGGCUCAGAUAUUUUACCUUGAGAAAAUUAGAGUGUUUCAGGCAGGCUAGGCCGGAAUACAUUAGCAUGGAAUAAUGGAAUAGGACUACGGUCUCGUUGUUGGUUUGAGGGACUGCAGUAAUGAUUAAUAGGGAUAGUUGGGGGCAUUAGUAUUUAAUUGUCAGAGGUGGAAUUCUCGGAUUUGUUAAAGACUAACUUAUGCGAAAGCAUUUGCCAAGGAUGUUUNCAUUA